This 467-nucleotide ribosomal RNA is filed under the name uncultured bacterium. Its description in RNAcentral is "partial 16S ribosomal RNA". It matches the Rfam family "Bacterial small subunit ribosomal RNA", at positions 28 to 506 of the family's 1533-position model. The record is from RNAcentral.
GACGAACGCUGGCGGCGUGCUUAACACAUGCAAGUCGAACGGAAAGGCCCUGCUUUUGUGGGGUGCUCGAGUGGCGAACGGGUGAGUAACACGUGAGUAACCUGCCCUUGACUUUGGGAUAACUUCAGGAAACUGGGGCUAAUACCGGAUAGGAGCUCCUGCUGCAUGGUGGGGGUUGGAAAGUUUCGGCGGUUGGGGAUGGACUCGCGGCUUAUCAGCUUGUUGGUGGGGUAGUGGCUUACCAAGGCUUUGACGGGUAGCCGGCCUGAGAGGGUGACCGGCCACAUUGGGACUGAGAUACGGCCCAGACUCCUACGGGAGGCAGCAGUGGGGAAUAUUGCACAAUGGGCGGAAGCCUGAUGCAGCAACGCCGCGUGCGGGAUGACGGACUUCGGGUUGUAAACCGCUUUCGCCUGUGACGAAGCGUGAGUGACGGUAAUGGGUAAAGAAGCACCGGCUAACUACGU